RNAcentral lists this ribosomal RNA (253 nucleotides) under uncultured bacterium. RNAcentral describes it as "partial 16S ribosomal RNA". It matches the Rfam family "Bacterial small subunit ribosomal RNA", at positions 524 to 776 of the family's 1533-position model. The record is from RNAcentral.
UACGGAGGGAGCUAGCGUUGUUCGGAAUUACUGGGCGUAAAGCGUACGUAGGCGGUUAUUCAAGUCAGAGGUGAAAGCCCGGGGCUCAACCCCGGAACUGCCUUCGAUACUGCGGGUCUCGAGUCCGGGAGAGGUGAGUGGAAUUCCUAGUGUAGAGGUGAAAUUCGUAGAUAUUAGGAAGAACACCAGUGGCGAAGGCGGCUCACUGGCCCGGUACUGACGCUGAGGCGCGAAAGCGUGGGGAGCAAACAGG